Gallus gallus (chicken) is the source of this 896-nucleotide long non-coding RNA. The record is from Ensembl. Lineage: Eukaryota; Metazoa; Chordata; Aves; Galliformes; Phasianidae.
GGAGAUACAACCUAUGGCAAAGUUGUCUGAUAUUCCUUUUUUCCUCGGCUCCGCUCCCUGUUGCUUGUCCCGACUGCGCGCAUCGCUUCAGCACUACUAGGCAUGGAUAUUGUGAAAUCCCUCUGCUCCACUAGUCACGGAACUGGGCCGUACCAGCCCAUAAACUGUUGACAGUGAAAGGCAGGAAACAACACCUGGACAUUAAUAGACUGAUAAAGGGUAGCUUUAACGGUGUAGAAUAUGACUGAACUGGGCUGAGAUCAAUAAAGCCAAGAGGGGACAUGCAAGUGGGCGUUACUUAAUUUAAAUACGUAACUAACAUCCAACAGGAUACAAGAAGGAGAAAAGGAUACUCUUCAUCGAAGUCAACUAUGCACCAUUUAAAUUAGACGAUUGAAAUCACUGAAGACAAUGUCAAGUGUUUCUGUAGGAGCAGGAAAUAUUUAUGAAGUACCACAUACACCUUGAAGAUGCAUUUUAUUUCUUUGCACUAUGGAGGAUGAUGGUACCUCAAAAAGGAUGCCUGUCUUUGUGUCUCUUUUUCUUGUUUUGCUAAUGUAUAGUGUCAUGAAAAAAUACUAUGGUUGCCCUAAGGAACUGACACAAUAUGCAGCAUUCAAACAGCAGAGUAAAAUCAAUUCAAGAAUACUGCAAUUCAAUUAAGUAUGCAGAUAAAAUAGACUUACAUGUUGUACCUAAGUAAUUCAGUAGAUAUUUAUGUUUCCUCCUCUUUCAUUGCUUAUAUACAUCAAUGGUUUAUGUAGCUGACUUUCUUUGUAAAGCCAUCAGAAAACUAAAUCAGUGUUUCUGCAUUCUGAAUUGAGCAAGAAAAACCUGCAUUUUUUUCUUCUUUUGUACUGUAAUGUAUCACAAAAUAAAAUAGAAACAGAAAACUU